RNAcentral lists this ribosomal RNA (1329 nucleotides) under metagenome. Its description in RNAcentral is "bacterial LSU rRNA". It matches the Rfam family "Bacterial large subunit ribosomal RNA", at positions 1582 to 2925 of the family's 2925-position model. The record is from RNAcentral.
GCAGCGAAGUGGGUGAUGUCAAGCUUCCAAGAAAAGCCCUAUACCCGUUAAGGCAUGAUGGCCUGUACCCGAAACCGACACAGGUGGGGUGGUAGAGAAUACCGAGGGGCGCGAGAUAACUCUCUCUAAGGAACUCGGCAAAAUGGCCCCGUAACUUCGGGAGAAGGGGUGCCACCGCAAGGUGGUCGCAGUGAAGAGGCCCAGGCGACUGUUUACCAAAAACACAGGUCUCCGCUAAGUCGCAAGACGAUGUAUGGGGGCUGACGCCUGCCCAGUGCCGGAAGGUUAAGGAAGCUGGUCAGCGCAAGCGAAGCUAGCGACUGAAGCCCCGGUGAACGGCGGCCGUAACUAUAACGGUCCUAAGGUAGCGAAAUUCCUUGUCGGGUAAGUUCCGACCCCACGAAAGGCGUAACGAUCUGGGCGCUGUCUCGGAGAGAGGCUCGGCGAAAUAGAAUUGUCUGUGAAGAUGCGGACUACGUGCACCCGGACAGAAAGACCCUAUGAAGCUUUACUGUAGCUUGGUAUUGUGCCCGGGCUCUGAAUGCGCAGGAUAGGUGGGAGGCUUUGAUCCAUUGCUUGUGGGUGAUGGUGAGCCAACGGUGAGAUACCACUCUUUCAGAGCUAGGGUUCUAACGGUCACCCGUUAUCCGGGGACCGGACAGUAUCAGGUGGGCAGUUUGACUGGGGCGUCGCCUCCUAAAAGGUAACGGAGGCGCGCAAAGGUUCCCUCAGGCUGGUUGGAAAUCAGCCGACGAGUGUAAAGGCAGAAGGGAGCUCGACUGUGAGACCUACAAGUCGAACAGGGACGAAAGUCGGCCUUAGUGAUCCGACGGUUCUGAGUGGAAGGGCCGUCGCUCAACGGAUAAAAGUUACUCUAGGAUAACAGGCUGAUCUCCCCCAAGAGUUCACAUCGACGGGGAGGUUUGGCACCUCGAUGUCGGCUCAUCGCAACCUGGGGCUGAAGUCGGUCCCAAGGGUUGGGCUGUUCGCCCAUUAAAGCGGUACGCGAGCUGGGUUCAGAACGUCGUGAGACAGUUCGGUCCAUAUCCGGUGCAUGCGCAGGAAUAUUGAGAGGAUUUCUCCCUAGUACGAGAGGACCGGGAGGAACGCACCUCUGGUGUGCCAGUUAUCGUGCCAACGGUAAACGCUGGGUAGCCAUGUGCGGAGAGGAUGACCGCUGAAAGCAUCUAAGUGGGAAGCCCACCUCAAGAUGAGUAUUCCCAUGGCGUUAGCCAGUAAGGUCACGGGCAGAACACCCGUUGAUAGGCUCUACGUGGAAGCCGGGCAACCGGUGAAGCGGAGGAGUACUAAUAGACCGAGGGCUUGAUC